ACACAUGCAAGUCGAACGGAGCUGUUUUCUCUGAAGUUUUCGGAUGGAAGAGAGUUCAGCUUAGUGGCGAACGGGUGAGUAACACGUGAGCAACCUGCCUUUCAGUGGGGGACAACAUUUGGAAACGAAUGCUAAUACCGCAUAAGACCACAGUGUCGCAUGGCACAGGGGUCAAAGGAUUUAUCCGCUGAAAGAUGGGCUCGCGUCCGAUUAGCUAGAUGGUGAGGUAACGGCCCACCAUGGCGACGAUCGGUAGCCGGACUGAGAGGUUGAACGGCCACAUUGGGACUGAGACACGGCCCAGACUCCUACGGGAGGCAGCAGUGGGGAAUAUUGCACAAUGGGGGAAACCCUGAUGCAGCGACGCCGCGUGGAGGAAGAAGGUCUUCGGAUUGUAAACUCCUGUCCCAGGGGACGAUAAUGACGGUACCCUGGGAGGAAGCACCGGCUAACUACGUGCCAGCAGCCGCGGUAAAACGUAGGGUGCAAGCGUUGUCCGGAAUUACUGGGUGUAAAGGGAGCGCAGGCGGAUUGGCAAGUUGGGAGUGAAAUCUAUGGGCUCAACCCAUAAAUUGCUUUCAAAACUGUCAGUCUUGAGUGGUGUAGAGGUAGGCGGAAUUCCCGGUGUAGCGGUGGAAUGCGUAGAUAUCGGGAGGAACACCAGUGGCGAAGGCGGCCUACUGGGCACUAACUGACGCUGAGGCUCGAAAGCAUGGGUAGCAAACAGGAUUAGAUACCCUGGUAGUCCAUGCCGUAAACGAUGAUUACUAGGUGUGGGAGGAUUGACCCCUUCCGUGCCGCAGUUAACACAAUAAGUAAUCCACCUGGGG
This 830-nucleotide ribosomal RNA is filed under the name uncultured bacterium. RNAcentral describes it as "bacterial SSU rRNA". It matches the Rfam family "Bacterial small subunit ribosomal RNA", at positions 51 to 878 of the family's 1533-position model. The record is from RNAcentral.